RNAcentral lists this long non-coding RNA (308 nucleotides) under Elaeis guineensis (African oil palm). Its description in RNAcentral is "long non-coding RNA (EGUI_LNC018251)". Lineage: Eukaryota; Viridiplantae; Streptophyta; Magnoliopsida; Arecales; Arecaceae. The record is from RNAcentral.
UGGCAAAUUGAAGUUAUUUGCACAGCAUCAGUAUGAGCUGGUAAGUACAUAUACGUACAUCUCUAAUAAUUUUUUAGAAUAUAUGUAUGUCUGUAUACUUACAUUCAUAAAUUUUAGAGAGACAUCGAGAUAGAGCAGCUGCCCGAGUGGAUUGACGUCUACCAGAGGACCUAUCAUCGGGCGAUGAGGGAGUGACUUCCUGAGACUAAGAAGAGGCAUGUAAGUAUUAAUUGAUUAAGUUCUAUAUUUCAAUUUCAUUAUGAAGUUUAAACUUUUGAUUACCUUUAUUUUUUUCUUUAAUUAGGAGC